GUGGGCUUCCCCUCGAGGUCCCAUCAGAAGUAGAGGGAAGGUAGGGAGUAGUAGAGGGUCUUCGCGAGACAUCUCCAGGCGAUCCGGGAAAUCACGGUUGGCCCUGCCCGAGGGGUGUCAUGAGCAGGAGCGAUAUCUUGUGUGUGUGUAUCGAAGCACCCUUGCUAUUGUGGAGAACGGCUGGGUCACGUUUGCAGGGGUUCAUCCAUCGCCCCGUAUCUGAAGGAAGAGUCAAAGAUCGUUUUGCCAAUCCAAGUUUGUAUGUGAAGUAAUCGCCAUCGAAAUUCCAUCCUCACUUCCGCUGACAGUGGGAUCCAGUGGUCGUAUGAGUGACCGGUGCGUACGUAUCUCACCAUCAGUCGUAG
Pelobates cultripes (western spadefoot toad) is the source of this 365-nucleotide non-coding RNA. The record is from the annotation of a GenBank genome assembly. NCBI's taxonomy places the organism in Eukaryota, Metazoa, Chordata, Amphibia, Anura, Pelobatidae.